UGACCUCGGAUCAGGUAGGG
Molecule: ribosomal RNA, 20 nt
Filed under: Aspergillus flavus
Lineage: Eukaryota; Fungi; Ascomycota; Eurotiomycetes; Eurotiales; Aspergillaceae
Also listed under: 5 other names
Description: partial 28S ribosomal RNA
Source: RNAcentral